Molecule: ribosomal RNA, 482 nt
Filed under: uncultured bacterium
Lineage: Bacteria
Description: partial 16S ribosomal RNA
Rfam family: Bacterial small subunit ribosomal RNA
Source: RNAcentral
AUUGAACGCUGGCGGCAUGCCUUACACAUGCAAGUCGAACGGUAACGGGCCUUCGGGUGCCGACGAGUGGCGAACGGGUGAGUAAUACAUCGGAACGUGCCCGAUCGUGGGGGAUAACGAGGCGAAAGCUUUGCUAAUACCGCAUACGAUCUACGGAUGAAAGCAGGGGACCGCAAGGCCUUGCGCGGACGGAGCGGCCGAUGGCAGAUUAGGUAGUUGGUGGGAUAAAAGCUUACCAAGCCGACGAUCUGUAGCUGGUCUGAGAGGAUGAUCAGCCACACUGGGACUGAGACACGGCCCAGACUCCUACGGGAGGCAGCAGUGGGGAAUUUUGGACAAAGGGCGCAAGCCUGAUCCAGCCAUGCCGCGUGCAGGAUGAGGGCCUUCGGGUUGUAAACUGCUUUUGUACGGAACGAAAAGCCUUCUUUUAAUACAGGAGGGUCAUGACGGUACCGUAAGAAUAAGCACCGGCUAACUACGUG